This 254-nucleotide ribosomal RNA is filed under the name uncultured bacterium. RNAcentral describes it as "partial 16S ribosomal RNA". It matches the Rfam family "Bacterial small subunit ribosomal RNA", at positions 524 to 776 of the family's 1533-position model. The record is from RNAcentral.
GACAGAGGCCUCGAGCGUUAGGCGGAAUCACUGGGCUUAAAGCGUGUGUAGGCGGAUCGUUAAGUGUCUCGGUGAAAUCCCACGGCUCACCCGUGGAACUGCUGGGCAUACUGGCGAUCUUGGGCCGUUCAGGGGCGACUGGAACAAGCGGUGGAGCGGUGAAAUGCGUAGAUAUCGCUUGGAACGCCGAAGGUGAAAACAGGUCGCUGGGGACGUGCCGACGCUGAGACACGAAAGCCAGGGGAGCAAACGGG